Long non-coding RNA from Eriocheir sinensis (Chinese mitten crab), 1177 nucleotides. RefSeq lists it as uncharacterized. The transcript is spliced from 3 exons. Lineage: Eukaryota; Metazoa; Arthropoda; Malacostraca; Decapoda; Varunidae. The record is from RefSeq and is a predicted model, not a curated record.
UAGAAAGAGGCAACAUCGCGGCGGAAUUUAAGAGGUAGAAGACUAUCAGUAGGAGGAGGAGAGCUGAUGAGACGAAGAGCCUUAGGGUGGUAUUGCUAGACGGAAGGUCGAGGACAAGUUACUUCCCAUGAAGUCAAGUCGUUACUGAGAGUACUUGAAAUGCCCGCCAAAAUACUGGAACAUGGUCGAGUGUCGAGGACACGGGUACCCCCGUGUCUUCGUCGAAAUCGUGAUUUAAAUUGUUAUCAGAAUUUAGACUGAAUGUAAAAAAUACAAUAAAUUAUAAAAUAAAUUUUCGGGAAAAAAAUAUCCUAUUAGGCAGAACACUAGUGUUUCUCUGAUAACAGUACCCGUUCCGCGUUUUACAAGAAUAAGGCGUCGUGACGACAACAAGCUCCCCCCUCCGGCCUGGCGUCACGCGGGAGAGGAAGGCUGCCGCCAUUACUACAAUUCAUCAUCCAUAUACAGAAAAAGCAGCAAUGGCAGCCUACAGACACCUGCUACGUAGAGUGGCUCACGUGGGACAAUGGGAAGACCUGGCCAUCAGGAGGAGAACCCGUUUGUUCAGGAGCCGUAGGGAUCCCUUUGAAAUGUACUCGGAAGAGGAGUUCACUCAACGCUUUCGGCUCUCCAAGCAAGUCACCCUGGAUCUCUUAUCAAAAAUCCAGCACCUAUUGCCAGAUUCUACCAGGAAAAGAGGGCUUCCAAUCCCACCACGUCUCCAGCUGCUGGUAACCCUCCGCUACUAUGCCACUGGGAGCUUCCAGCUUGACAUGGGGGAUUGCUGUGACAUGUCGCUGCCCAGUGUAUCUACCUGUGUCAAGACUGUGACCAGUGCAAUCUGCCAGCUAGCAGGGGACUACAUAAAGUUCCCCAGUCCUGCUGAAGAACAGGAUGUCAUGCGACAAUUUGCCGAGGUAGCUGCCAUGCCCGGAGUUAUUGGAUGUGUAGAUGGUGUACACAUCCCAAUCAUCAGUCCAGGUGGAGAAGAUGCAGAACUUUACCGCUGCAGGAAAGGCUUUUUUUCAUUGAAUAUAAUGGGGGUCUGCAACUCAUCCAUGCUCUUCACAAAUCUGGUCGUGAACUGGCAAGGUAGUGCACAUGAUGCCCGCAUCUUCAGUGAGUCUGUUUUGUGUGCUACUCUGGAGGGAGGGCAGUACAGAGGAUACUUGUUGGG